This is a long non-coding RNA of Hemicordylus capensis (graceful crag lizard), 950 nucleotides long. RefSeq lists it as uncharacterized. The record is from RefSeq and is a predicted model, not a curated record. NCBI's taxonomy places the organism in Eukaryota, Metazoa, Chordata, Lepidosauria, Squamata, Cordylidae. The transcript is spliced from 3 exons.
UCCCUGGAGCUGUUUCCUGCAGCUCUCCCUGCCUUGCUGCUCUCUCAACCCCACUGGGAUCUGACCAGCCUGGACCCCUCUCAUCCCUACUGCCCCCUGAAGGGAAUGAACACCCCACAGGGGGGAUGCCACGCCCUUCUCCAGGCUCCACAGGGCCACCCAAGCAACCAGGCAACAUGGCAUCCUGACAGAAAAAAAUCAAUCUUUAUUUAUUCUUGACCAGCAGAAGUUCACACAUUGUGAGCCGUUUUGGAACAGGGAUAGUUUCCACUGGGAACACUGAGGUUCCCAACGCUGUAGGAAUGGCCUGGAGUCUACAGGAAUCGGUAUCCAUCUACAGAAGUACGUCACUCUCCCACAGCCAUGACCUCUUCAUUGAAAGAUAAUGCCAACUGUUUUUCAAGCCAGGACUGAAUCGGUGAACGUUGUCUUUCUCAUUCUCUUUUCCAAUUCAUGUUUCUGAGAUGUUGUCAUAAAACUAGUGGGGGGGGGGCAGCGUGAGAAUUCUGCCUCCUGUAUGCAAAUUGAAAACUGUAUGACUCUUUUUGCCUUAUCCAGUAAUAUAUAGGAAGGAUGCUCCAAAACAAACACUUCUCUCAUCUAGAUCAAGGGGGAUGACAAAACUUCCCAUGACAUCAUUGUUAUCCAUUCUUGUGACCUUUUGUUGCCAGAUCCGGCACACCUUAAUAUUUUCCAUCAGUCAGUCCAAGGGCCUGAUCCUGAAAAUGAAGUGAUGCUUGAAGGAAAUAUUUGUGCAUAGACAUUGAGUAAGCCUUAUUUUUGAAGUAGGUUUUACAGAUGAAGGUGUCCAAUUUAGUUUUCUUUUUAACCAAUUAACCAUCCAGUUAUCCAACAGAAAGAAUUUAAUAAUUGUACUGACAAGAAAUGUUCUUUUAUAUUAUUAAUUUCAAUUGAACUUGAAAGAAAUGUGCAUUGUUAUGAGUUUUGUA